Molecule: long non-coding RNA, 761 nt
Organism: Pieris brassicae (large cabbage white)
Lineage: Eukaryota; Metazoa; Arthropoda; Insecta; Lepidoptera; Pieridae
Exons: 3
Source: RefSeq, a predicted model, not a curated record
UCGCGUUACUGCAUUCCAAAGGAACCUCAUCAAGGGCGGUCACCGAGAUCCACGCGGGUACACCUGGAGCAUUGGGCGUUCCCUCGUGCUGCUACGAGACUCGACAAGAAAUGCAGUUGCUGGUCUGGACGAAAGCGAUGUCGAGCCAAAUUCUUGUCAGGAGGAAGCCGAAUACAACCCGGAUUUUCACGAAGCUCAGGGAGAGGAAGAUCGGAGGUAGUGAAAAUCAACGUCCAAAAUACCGACCAUCUACCGUACAUAGAGCUGCCGGAGUUUCAAGGAUCCUCAUCGCAGGAGCAAUCAUGCUCUGUUCAAGAGGUGACGUAAUCCUUAAUCCUGUUAACAACAAUCCGGGAAUCCUUUUGCUUAAACAAGGGCGGAUAAUGAAACAAAUAGAUAUUUUUAAUUUAGCAUGUGUGUAUAACAUGACUUAUUUGCAGUCAACCAUUAAUGAGUUAGCGACAUUAUUCACAAGCAUAAAUACCACAGAAUUGUAUACAAUGCAUACAGAUCAAGUGCAAAAUUCUUUUAGAGCUCAAAUAGAACAUAAUCUAUCUAUAGUGAAUAGAAAAAUUGAUUAUAUUAUUCCCCAGAAUGUUAGGCGCAAACGAGGUCUUAUUAACGGUUUAGGCUCAGUUAUAAAGUCCAUAACAGGUAAUCUAGAUCAACAAGACGCUCUUAAAUUUGAAGCUGAUAUUUUGGCCAUUAAAAACAAGGUUACUUCUAUGCAAAAGGUUCAAAAGAAGACAUUAGUAAUAGCC